The sequence is a small nuclear RNA, 79 nucleotides long. Its record names the gene U2. It matches the Rfam family "U2 spliceosomal RNA". Rfam says of the family: U2 is a small nuclear RNA (snRNA) component of the spliceosome (involved in pre-mRNA splicing). The record is from Ensembl.
AUUGCUUCUCGGCCUUUUGGCUAAGAUCAAGUGUAGCAUCAUAUUACUUGCAAUUAAUGAAAAAUCUCCCUCAUCUUUU